CUCUGAGGGGGCGGGUAUUUCUUGGACCUAGGCUGCUUCUUAAGAGGAAAUGCGGCAGUGCUGUAGAGACCCUUCACCAGUUGGGCUCUCUGAUGUGAUCUCUAACAUGGCCCUGCAACUCUUCUCCAAGAAACAUGCAAGCUAAGUUGAUGUGUAAUAAGCUUGCACAGAGUGCUAAGGAGUUCCUGGCUGACAAAAUAAGAAGAGGGGAACCUCUAUCUUCAGAUCCAGCUAUGCUUUUUCCAAAAUGGCAAAACUUGCUUGUGCAGGAUUCGUGGAGAUAGAGUUGAGACAGGAACCAUCUUAGUUCAUAAGGAUCCUGGAGUUGGAGAAGCUAUUCUAGAAUGGCAUCUGGGAAACCUGCUUCAAUCAAAACCAUAUGUGAAAUUGUCACAAUGACACCAGCGUGUAUUUUGUUGGGAUGAGAGAAAAGAGAUCUAGCAACUAUGUGAAUGUAUGAUUCAGUCUUUCUCAAUGAAACACUUCUCAUGAAAAUAUAUAUUGCAAUACCCAUCAGCAAGUAUUAUUACAAUAACUUUAUUGAGUUGCCUUUUUGAAAGCAAAUGAUCUUCAGUGGGAGCCAACUUUGAAACUGGAAAGCUGUUCUAAAUUGUAACAAAAUAAAAUAUCAACAUUUUACAAUCUUCAGGAAAAAUUUUUACUCUUUCCACAGUUCCCAUCUUUUUUUAGUAAGACUCACAUUUCUGGUCUUUAUAUCAUAAAACACUUAAAUAAUACUGACUUUUUUUUUUUUUAAAAAAGAAGCAAACAAAACAACAACCUCUGUACAAAAAAAGUCAUUUAUAGUUCUGCUGUAUGAGAGAGGUUGAGAGAGACUGAACUAUGUUUGACAGAUAUUAUUCCCUUUGUUCACUGCCCUAGUGGGAGGUGCUAUAUUGACAUAGCUCAGGUGAUGAGGGUAGACCAAGAAAGUUAGUAAAGAAAGUGGAAGAGAAAGGAGCAAAACGUAGAAACGAGCAGCAAAACCUACCUUUGAACACAAAGGGAUGCUAAUAGAAGUAUAAUGUACCUUGAAUUGUUGCCAAAGGGAUUUUACUAGUAGUACCAGGGAAACAUUACAGAAAACCUUUGCAGAUAAUCAGAUGAUCAAACCUAAGUAGGUGUGAAUAGUCAUAGUAUGAGAUGCUUAAACCAUGUGCAAGCAGUAUAGUCUCCCAGAGGUAAUGCUGAGAAUAGUUUGCCAGAAUUUGUCUAGGUAUAAGAACUCUGCAAUCCACUUAGCUCACCAGCUGGGGGAAUCAGAGUGGUUACAGCAGUUGACUGGGGUCUUGCAGUUCCUCUGCCUGCUAAGGAUGGGCCUUGGCCUCUGCCCUACUGUGGUUUUGAGACGGACCGGGAGCACCUACACAAGGCCUUGUGUCCUGCCCUUCAUCAGGUCAAAGACCAUUUGUUGCACAGCAACUAUGUUAACAUUUUGCCAGCAGCAUAACUGCAGUGUAUGUGUACCUAGUGUGUGGUGUAUUUGGAUGAGAUUCAGAGGGCAAUUUUUUUGUUGUGUGCAGGGAAGCAUACAGGGGUAGAGCACUGUCCCUUCACUUUUUCAUUUUUGUAACCAUCUGAAGAGUUGGUCCCAACUGCACAGCAACUUUCCUGAAAUUACCAGGGCAAAGAUCUUCACAAAUAAGUCUCCUGUUAGCAGUUCUUUUCCAGUACAGAAAACCAGAAAUACUCCUACUCAGUCCUAAAUGUUCAAAAUCACAAGAAUGUUGGAAUGAAGGUUUAGAUUGUAGACCAUGUGUGUAUUUUCUCAUACAUGUUUUAUGUUGUCCAUAAGGCAAGACUAUUUGUUCCGUAUUAUAGCAGCAAUAACUGGACUUCUGGAAGAAAAAAACGCAUCCCAUAUCCAAUUAAAAAUAUGUGCUGUAUAUGUCUAUUUGCUAUUGGUAACUUCUAACAGCUGCCUGAGGUAUAGUUAAUGUGCUAACCCUCUAGUUUAGAAGAGCUGAGAACCAAGAGUUUUUGACUUGAGAGAAUCCGAAAACAUAAAGAUGCAAGCCUUUAAAAGACUUGCUGAUAUGGUCAGUGUCUGACCACCAUAACCUUAUAUAUUUUCAGCAGAGAUUUCUUAGG
This is a non-coding RNA of Meleagris gallopavo (turkey), 2091 nucleotides long. The record is from RefSeq and is a predicted model, not a curated record. Lineage: Eukaryota; Metazoa; Chordata; Aves; Galliformes; Phasianidae.